This 241-nucleotide ribosomal RNA is filed under the name uncultured bacterium. Its description in RNAcentral is "partial 16S ribosomal RNA". It matches the Rfam family "Bacterial small subunit ribosomal RNA", at positions 91 to 334 of the family's 1533-position model. The record is from RNAcentral.
CUAAGUGGCGGACGGGUGAGUAAUGUAUAGUUAAUCUGCCCUUUAGAGGGGGAUAACAGUUGGAAACGACUGCUAAUACCCCAUACUCCUUUUACAUUAAUUGUAAUUGGGAAACGUUUUUUCGCUAAAGGAUGAGACUAUAUGGUAUCAGGUAGUUGGUGGGGUAAGAGCCCACCAAGCCAAUGACGCCUAGCUGGUCUGAGAGGAUGAUCAGCCACACUGGAACUGAGACACGGUCCAG